Molecule: long non-coding RNA, 1813 nt
Organism: Apis mellifera (honey bee)
Lineage: Eukaryota; Metazoa; Arthropoda; Insecta; Hymenoptera; Apidae
Exons: 3
Source: RefSeq, a predicted model, not a curated record
AAUUAUGAGUAACACGAACGAUUUAAUUAAUUUUUACAAUUAAAUUUUUCAAAUGUUAUUAUUUCAUGAUUUCUUUUAAUCCAUAGGAUGGCUUCUAAACAGGAAAACUUCGAUCUCAUUCGUACCGUAAUGCAACAAUCUUUCGUGUCAGCGUCUAUUCACAAGAAACGUUAAUAAAAAUAGAGAAGAAACGAAGGUACAUACACACGAGAAGGAAAAGCCCAUAUUUACCUCGAUUCCCUGUACGAAUCGUACUUUGUAACGAAACCAUAGGGGUUGCGAGUACAAAAGCUUCUUCCCUCCCCUAUUCACUCCAGGCUUUUUAUCGUUAAUAUUAGAGGGUCCUGCCUUUCGUCGUCACGUAAUGCAAUUGCAAAGAAAAGAAUUUGCUCGUGGCUUAUAACGUUGUUCUCCCCUUCCUGCACUUCACUGCCAAUGACAUUUCCAUCAUUUCUUACUUCUCUGAGUAAACCUCACAGCCCAGCCCCGGCCACAAUUCCUCGGCAUUCUUUCCAGCCGAGCGAAGGAGGAAAAAAGAAACUCGCUCUGAACAAGAAUUCCUCGAACAAAACUAGAUGCUCGCGAAAACGAAGCCGCUGCACAGCUCUUGGAAAGCGAUAUUAAAGAACACACGAACAACCAUUCAGCCUACCUAAUCUCAUUACGAUGUUUACUGCAAACGAGCUCGCCUCGUUUCCGCAUCCGUUCGACAACGAUAUCGUGACCUAUGGAAUUCGGCAGUCUUUCAUAACUCGUCCAAUCCAUACAACCCCGCGUUAUCAGGUUAAUUCGCGUGCCUGGAACCCUCUCCCUCGAGUAACCAUCACGUGGUUUUUGAAAUAGAGGAGGGGAGGGAGGUAUAUAAUAGGUUGCAACACUGUGAUGGUUGUCGGAGAAUUGGCGAACUUUGGAAAGGGAGAGAGAAACGUGGCUUUUGCUCGAUGAAUUUCUUAGAGUUGCGGCGGAUUGAUUGGCCGGUGCGCUGAUUGGGUUGCAAAGGGGAUUGGAUUGAUUACUUGGGUGGUUUCGGAGAGGGGGAGGAGAGUUUGGAGACGGUUAAUUAUUCUUUGGACGAAGGGGGGGUUUAGAUUAGUUUUAGAUUGUUGGGAUAAUUGGUUUAUUAUUCUCUUUAUAACUCAAAAGUUGAAUUUUUGAUUUUUUUAUUAUAUUGGUGAAUCAUUUAUGGUAGAAGAAAAUAUUCUAUUUUUGAUUUUGUGAAGAUAUGUACAUUUCACGUCCAAUUUCAAAUUUUCUGCACCUUACCUUUUGCACAUUCUGUACGAUAUUUCACAGGAUAAUUCAUAUUAAUCCAGCAUAUAUUCGAUGUUGAAUAUGCGAUGAGUCUUCAUAGUUUCGAUAAGCCUCGUCCAAUGAAUAAUGCAUCCCUUGUGAACACGUUUAAUUUUUAUUAAAUCUUGAAUCAUCGAAUCGAAAAUGUUUAACGAAUACCAAUAAUACGAAUAAUAUAAUUCAUAUUUCCAUAUAAAUACACUCGUCAGACUCUACAAUUAAUUCGAACGAGUAUCGGUCACUUUUCGUAUCUCGUUGAUUGUCACGAGGUCAUCUGCGUUUCCGGAACAUGUCGCAAUUGUAGAUGCAAUUGAUUAUGCGUCAUCAAUCUCUCUCUCGACCGUGAGAAUCGUAGAUCUAACGUGCGACAAUCUUGACUGUGAAUUUCUAACCAAGAUCCUAUUGUCGAAGAUCGAAUCAUUAUUAUACGUUCUACAUAAUUUGCACGUUUGUAUUGUAUUAGAGACAUUAAGGAAUUUUAUUGUAUUAAAAUUAUGUAAAUAUCGUUUAGAAUUUUGAAUUA